AGUGAUGUUUAUACUCACUGGUGUCUGAUGCUGGAGAUUGGUGUUAUCAGUAAUUGUGGGGUUAAUGAACACUGAACAUUACUGUGGGUACUGGUGAAAGUGGGAUUAAUAAACCCUGGGAUUAAACUUCUCAUCUCUCUCUGAUCCACAGUUUAGAUUCUGUAGGUCUCACAGCUGCUGGUGUUGUGGAUCUCACCUCUGCUCUCAGUACAAACCGUUCACUGGCGGAGCUGGACCUGGGUUAUAAUGAACUGGGAGAUUCAGGAGUGAAGCUGGUGUUUGAGGCUCUGAGGAACCCAGGGUGUAAAAUACAGAAGCUUGAUCUGGAGUCUGUCGGUCUCACAGCUGCUGGAGUUGUGGAUCUCACCUCUGCUCUCAGUACAAACCGCUCACUGACUGAGUUGGACCUACGUGAUAAUGAACUGGGAGAUUCAGGAGUGAAACUGGUGUCUGAGGCUCUGAGAAACCCAGGGUGUAAAAUACAGAAUCUGUGUCUACGGUCUGUCGGUCUCACAGCUGCUGGUGUUGGGCAUCUCACAUCCGCUCUCAGUACAAACUGCUCACUGACUGAGC
Molecule: long non-coding RNA, 573 nt
Organism: Hypanus sabinus (Atlantic stingray)
Lineage: Eukaryota; Metazoa; Chordata; Chondrichthyes; Myliobatiformes; Dasyatidae
Exons: 3
Source: RefSeq, a predicted model, not a curated record